UCUACACACAAAUCCCUUCAUUUCUCAUUGCCUACACCAUGUUGUCAUUUAGAAAGCACUAGCAUUCAAUAUUGUUCACUCAAGUCAACACAGCUUGAGCUCAAUUAGCACACAGUUACCCACGUGGAAACACUAAGAGUCAAAAUUUAUCACACACCGAUCAGAACCUUCAACAGAGAGAUAAAAGAGUCCCAGUCAGUUCAUUCAGUUUUGGAACAAUGGAUCCAGAGAUGUGAUUGAAAAGGUCAAGGACACCAGAGAGGAGGAAGAGGAGGAGGAGGAGGAGGAGGAGGAGCAGUAAAAAGUGGAGGAAGAGGUGAAGGAGGAUUAAGAAGGGGAGGAUGAGGAUGAGGGGCAAGGAGACAAGGAGUGUCAGAUGAAAUUUGUGCCACUAGUUGACCAUGUCCUUGUCCAUGGUAUGACUAUGAGGGAGGCUGGGCAAUGAGUUCAGCCAAACUUAAGUUGCUUCACUGUCGCCUCGAUCGUAAGAACCUUCAGGGUGGAAACAGAGACGAUGAAAUGGAAGAAGCCCGACUAGACAUUUCAGUUGAUGUGUGCCAGGGGUGGAUCAGGCAUGCAAGAGGAUUUUCCCCCCCGCUGCCUGGAUAGGACCAGUAUAACCUGUGAUGUUGAUGAGAUUCUCUGAUCGUCCCAGACCAAAGACGUGAUGCUGGGGCAGAAUAUUUCUUGUUGUUGUUUGGUGUAUUGUACUGUACAGUACAUUAAGCAAUAAAAAAUGUGCAAGUGUAUACAUGUGUUCAUCAUUUGAAAAGUUCCUUGAAGGGGGAGAACUACAAGCAACAUAACUUAUUACUGGUUUUUGGAUUUUGUAGUAUUGUUUUGAAUUUAUCUCACUAGUGUGUAAGACUAUGUUGUAGUGUGUGUGUUUUUGAGGGCUUGUGUGUCAUGUCUGAGGACAAAGUUUGGUUUUUCAGCAAGAGUGAAUGGUUUUGAGUGUAGAGCUUCAUUUUGACCUGAAAAUAGGAUGUUUGGGGAAUUGGGUGAGACGUUAUGGAUUUGUGUUUACUGUUUUGAGAAAAUGAGGCAUAGUUUCAAGAAAUGUGUUUAAGCAAUCGAGAAAAACUGUAAAUGACAGCAGUGUAUAAUCUGAAUCAGCAGGUUUUCUUGAGCAAUUUAAUAUGUAACAUUUACUCGAAAAGAGAAGGUUGUUAAUUACUGCACAAAUACUGAACAAAAUGUUACAUUGUAUAAGCUGCACUUUUGACAAAACUAUGAAAGUGAUUAACACAAACUGCUAUGUUUAAUUGUUAGCUUGUUUUAUUUUUUUUAAUCAUGUGUUCAAUAAUUUUGCUGUUUUACAAUAAAAUGUUUUCUUUUUUUGUUCA
Molecule: long non-coding RNA, 1346 nt
Organism: Ctenopharyngodon idella (grass carp)
Lineage: Eukaryota; Metazoa; Chordata; Actinopteri; Cypriniformes; Xenocyprididae
Exons: 2
Source: RefSeq, a predicted model, not a curated record